AUGUUUGUCCAGCUUCACCACUUGGUCACUCUGCUCCUGCUCCUGGUGGCCGCCGAUCGCUGCCACCCCGCCACCGGUGGUGGAAGCAGCAGCGGCGAUGACGGUCGGCAGUUCACGUACAACGGCUUCGUGGGUGCGAACCUGACGCUCAAUGGCGGGGCCACCGUCAUGCCGAACGGCCUCCUCAUGCUGACCGAUGGCACCCUUCAGACGAAAGGCCAGGCCUUCCACCCGUCCCCGCUGCCGUUCCACACCGAGGCGAACGGCACCGGCGUCGUGCGGUCCUUCUCGACCACUUUCGUCUUCGCCAUCUUUGGCCCGUACGCCUACCUGAGCAGCCAUGGACUGACCUUCUUCGCCUCAGCGUCCAGGGAGGUGCUCUCCACUGCGCUUCCAGGCCAGUUCUUGGGCCUCCUCAACGGCACCAAUGGCAACCGGAGCGCCCGCAUCUUCGCCGUGGAGCUCGACACGCUCCUCAACGCCGAUUUCCGUGACAUUAACAGCAACCAUGUCGGUGUCGACAUCAAUAGUCUGAUAUCCAUCGAUUCCGCCGACGCCGGAUACUACGAUGAUAGCACAGGUCGGUUCCAGAACCUAAGCCUGAUCAGCCGGAAGGCAAUGCAAGUGUGGGUGGACUACGAUGGCGUGGCCACGGAGAUCACGGUGACCAUGGCUCCCGUGGGCGUGGCCAGGCCCAAGAGGCCGCUCCUGCGGACCACCGUCGACCUCUCGGGUGUGGUGCAGAGCACGGCGUAUGUUGGAUUCUCGUCGGCGACGGGCGUCAUGUCCACACGCCACUUCGUCCUCGGCUGGAGCUUCGCGCUGGACGUGCCAGCCCCGGCGCUGGACAUCUCGGCGCUGCCGGCCUUGCCACGCGCCUGGCCCAAGCCACGCUCGAGGAUCCUGCAGAUUGUGCUGCCUAUAGCGUCGGUGACGCUGGUUUUUGCUGUAGGCAUCGGAGUGUGCAUCUUGGUACGACGGCGUCUCAAGUAUUCCGAACUGCGUGAGGACUGGGAGGACGCGUUCGGCCCCCAACGAUUCUCUUACAAAGAAUUGUUUCAUGCGACCAAGGGGUUCAGCAAUAAGAACCUGCUCGGAGUAGGAGGCUUCGGAAGUGUGUACAGGGGUAGACUCCGCAAGCCUGACAAGGAGAUCGCCGUAAAGAGGGUCUCCCAUGAGUCAAGGCAGGGGAUGAAGGAGUUCGUCGCCGAGGUUGCAAGCAUCGGGCGACUACGGCACCGCAACCUCGUGCCGCUGCUUGGUUACUGCCGGCGCAAGGUGGAGCUUCUCCUGGUUUACGAUUACAUGCCAAACGGAAGCCUUGAUAAAUACUUGUAUGAUGGAUCUUCAGGUACACUGGAUUGGCGUCAAAGGUUUCACAUAAUCAGAGGUGUGGCUUCUGGGUUACUGUAUCUCCAUGAGGAUUGGGAGCAAGUUGUCAUCCACCGAGAUGUGAAAGCGAGCAAUGUUCUCCUAGACAGCGAGAUGAAUGGGCGGUUAGGGGAUUUCGGCCUUGCAAGGCUGUACGAUCAUGGAGCGGACGCCCAUACAACACAUGUGGUUGGCACCAUGGGCUACCUGGCCCCCGAGUUAGGACACAUGUGGUAA
This 1608-nucleotide ribosomal RNA is filed under the name Triticum aestivum (bread wheat). RNAcentral's name for it is "partial small subunit ribosomal RNA". The record is from RNAcentral. Lineage: Eukaryota; Viridiplantae; Streptophyta; Magnoliopsida; Poales; Poaceae.